This 441-nucleotide ribosomal RNA is filed under the name uncultured bacterium. RNAcentral describes it as "partial 16S ribosomal RNA". It matches the Rfam family "Bacterial small subunit ribosomal RNA", at positions 338 to 795 of the family's 1533-position model. The record is from RNAcentral.
CCUACGGGAGGCUGCAGUGGGGAAUAUUGCACAAUGGGGGGAACCCUGAUGCAGCGACGCCGCGUGGGUGAAGGAGUGCUUCGGCAUGUAAAGCCCUAUCGGCAGGGAAGAAGCAAGACGGUACCUGACUAAGAAGCCCCGGCUAACUCCGUACCAGCAGCCGCGGUAAUACGUAGGGGGCGAGCGUUAUCCGUAUUCACUGGGUGUAAAGGGAGCGUAGACGGCCAUGCAAGUCAGGGGUGAAAGCCCGGGGCUCAACCCCGGGACUGCCCUUGGAACUGUGCGGCUAGAGUGCGGGAGGGGCAGGCGGAAUUCCUGGUGUAGCGGUGAAAUGCGUAGAUAUCAGGAGGAACACCGGCGGCGAAGGCGGCCAGCUGGAUCGCGACUGACGUUGAGGCGCGAAAGCGUGGGGAGCGAACAGGAUUAGAUACCCGGGUAGUC